GACGAACGCUGGCGGCGUGCUUAACACAUGCAAGUCGAACGGUGAAGCGCCUUCCUUUUUGGUUGGUGUGGAUGAGUGGCGAACGGGUGAGUAACACGUGAGUAACCUGCCCCCUUCUUCUGGAUAACCGCAUGAAAGUGUGGCUAAUACGGGAUAUUCUGGGUCUGUCGCAUGAUGGGUCUGGGAAAGAUAUUGUUUCGGUGGGGGAUGGGCUCGCGGCCUAUCAGCUUGUUGGUGGGGUGAUGGCCUACCAAGGCGGUGACGGGUAGCCGGCCUGGGAGGGUGGACGGUCACACUGGGACUGAGACACGGCCCAGACUCCUACGGGAGGCAGCAGUGGGGAAUAUUGCACAAUGGGCGAAAGCCUGAUGCAGCGACGCCGCGUGAGGGAUGGAGGCCUGCGGGUUGUGAACCUCUUUCGCCAGUGAAGCAGGCCUGCCUCGUUUGUGGGUGGGUUGACGGUAGCUGGAUAAGAAGCGCCGGCUAACUACGUG
RNAcentral lists this ribosomal RNA (494 nucleotides) under uncultured bacterium. Its description in RNAcentral is "partial 16S ribosomal RNA". It matches the Rfam family "Bacterial small subunit ribosomal RNA", at positions 28 to 507 of the family's 1533-position model. The record is from RNAcentral.